RNAcentral lists this ribosomal RNA (531 nucleotides) under Daldinia loculata. RNAcentral describes it as "eukaryotic LSU rRNA". It matches the Rfam family "Eukaryotic large subunit ribosomal RNA", at positions 56 to 596 of the family's 3401-position model. Lineage: Eukaryota; Fungi; Ascomycota; Sordariomycetes; Xylariales; Hypoxylaceae. The record is from RNAcentral.
GAAAAGAAACCAACAGGGAUUGCCCUAGUAACGGCGAGUGAAGCGGCAACAGCUCAAAUUUGAAAUCUGGCCCUAGCGGUCCGAGUUGUAAUUUGUAGAGGAUGCUUUUGGUUAGGUGCCUUCUGAGUUCCCUGGAACGGGACGCCAGAGAGGGUGAGAGCCCCGUACGGUUGGACACCGAGCCUCUAUAUAGCUCCUUCGACGAGUCGAGUAGUUUGGGAAUGCUGCUCUAAAUGGGAGGUAAAUUUCUUCUAAAGCUAAAUACCGGCCAGAGACCGAUAGCGCACAAGUAGAGUGAUCGAAAGAUGAAAAGUACUUUGAAAAGAGGGUUAAAUAGCACGUGAAAUUGUUGAAAGGGAAGCGUUUGCGACCAGACUUUUUCCAGGCGGAUCAUCCGGUGUUCUCACCGGUGCACUUCGCCUGGUUUAGGCCAGCAUCGGUUCUCUUAGGGGGAUAAAGGCCUGGGGAACGUAGCUCCUUCGGGAGUGUUAUAGCCCCUAGCGUAAUACCCUUCGGGGGACCGAGGAACGC